This 467-nucleotide ribosomal RNA is filed under the name uncultured bacterium. RNAcentral's name for it is "partial 16S ribosomal RNA". It matches the Rfam family "Bacterial small subunit ribosomal RNA", at positions 28 to 523 of the family's 1533-position model. The record is from RNAcentral.
GACGAACGCUGGCGGCGUGCUUAACACAUGCAAGUCGAGCGGGAAACUUCGGUUUCCAGCGGCGGACGGGUGAGUAACACGUGGGCAACCUGCCUCACAAUGAGGGAUAGCCUUCCGAAAGGAAGAUUAAUACCUCAUAACACAAGAGAAACGCAUGUUUCUUUUGCCAAAGAAUUUCGUUGUGAGAUGGGCCCGCGGGGCAUUAGCUUGGUGGUGAGGUAACGGCUCACCAAGGGUUCGAUGCGUAGCCGACCUGAGAGGGUGAUCGGCCACAUUGGAACUGAGACACGGUCCAGACUCCUACGGGAGGCAGCAGUGGGGAAUAUUGCACAAUGGAGGAAACUCUGAUGCAGCAACGCCGCGUGAGUGAUGAAGGUCUUCGGAUUGUAAAGCUCUGUCUUCUGGGACGAUAAUGACGGUACCAGAGGAGGAAGCCACGGCUAACUACGUGCCAGCAGCCGCCGUAA